Long non-coding RNA from Bradysia coprophila, 405 nucleotides. RefSeq lists it as uncharacterized. The record is from RefSeq and is a predicted model, not a curated record. Lineage: Eukaryota; Metazoa; Arthropoda; Insecta; Diptera; Sciaridae.
AAGUUUUAGUUUUGUUUAUACAACUGACGCUUUUCUGUGCAAUAAUUUGCUAUUCGUCAGUGGAAAUCGUAUAAAAGGAGAAAAAUAUGGCCCAAAAAUAUCAUUCAGCAAAAUGAAGUUUAUCGUUAUUCUAGCUGUGCUCUGCUUUUGCGUUCAAGGAAGCCUACAACAGUGCUUCGGACAAAAUUACGGUCAAGGAUGGGGUUGCGGCAACAUACAAGGCGGUGGUGGAUGUGGUGGAUGUGGUAGCAGUAUCAACCCUGAAGUUCAAUUUACAAUUUACCAGAUUUUGUUUCACUUGACAUCUACCACAACUACAACAACAGCAGCGCCAGCACCUUAACACAAAUAGCGGCCUUUGUGAAAAUAUGAAUUGAAUUUAAUAAAUUUGUCGACAGUUACCUA